Amphibalanus amphitrite is the source of this 881-nucleotide long non-coding RNA. RefSeq lists it as uncharacterized. Lineage: Eukaryota; Metazoa; Arthropoda; Thecostraca; Balanomorpha; Balanidae. The transcript is spliced from 3 exons. The record is from RefSeq and is a predicted model, not a curated record.
AUUGUAUGAAAUGCCUUCUCCCUAUCGCGCGCCGCGAUAACGCCUUGAAAAUGAAAUAUGUUUUAAUCGCAGCCUGAUUAUCUUCUAGCCCGGAGCAUAUACGACUGGCAGAGGAGGGUGAGCAGCGAAAAGAACCUUUGGAUUCCAAGACCACAGCGAAAAGAAAAGAGCUGAUUUGGCACGACGUUACCGAGCAACUGGACAUAACAAGGGACCGAGCAAAACAGCAGCGGAAAGGCACAAAAGACAAUUAUCGCAGCGUCCGUGCCAAGCCGCGCUCCCUGCCUAGCGGACCGGCUGCAGUAGCCUUGGCGCCGCUUCAAGAGCAGCAGAAGCUGUACCUCUGUACCUUGGGCGCGGGCUCGGAUGCCAAGGCUACCUGCCCGAGUCUCCGGGGGUCGCACUCUGAGUUGACGCAUCUUGACGCCGCAGAAGGUGCCGGAGGGGAAACAGCGUACACUCCAACACCUGAGCGCAGCGGCACGGAAACGCCCAGUGCUGUGGCACCAACAGGGGUGUCUUCGACGCUGGAUCAGCUGAACGCAAGGGAAGAAAUAGCAAAGAAAAGUAAACACGCGGGUUUUUUCACUGAACUAGACCAGAUGCUGGAACGCAUGGGAGAGCGCAAAGCGUGUGAGUUCAAAGCUAGAGUGUACGCGGAGGCCGUGAAGACUGCUUUCAAUUUGUAGCUUCUAGCUGAGUGGGCCAUACCGAAAGCUACAUGUUUUGUCGUGCACUGUUUCAAUUCUGUUCAGCCUGGAAAGUUGACCCAUGAUGUAUUGUGCUUUGUGAAGUUCAUAUACCUACCUAAGUUUAUAGCUUGCGGGAAUACGCGAGAUUGUACAUUGUAUUGUAUUUUAUUAUAUAUUUUCAUCAACCUC